Molecule: long non-coding RNA, 560 nt
Filed under: Capra hircus (goat)
Lineage: Eukaryota; Metazoa; Chordata; Mammalia; Artiodactyla; Bovidae
Description: lncRNA (ENSCHIG00000008309.1)
Source: RNAcentral
CUCCAAGAAGGCGCAACUGACCUAAGCUGGGAGGCUCAAGAAGGCUUCCUGGAGGAGGCGGUACCUCCCAGGUGGAGCUUGAAAGCAAACAGGAAAGUUAAGGUUUGGGGUUGCUAGCCCGCUGCGUUCCUCUGCAUGCGCCCCUUGCAGGGCAAAUUCCCCUGGGGACUCUGUCCCUUCCAAGAGAGUGAUCGAGAAAAACAGCUUUUCUGAGAUUCGACCUGGGUGUCCCACGCCGGGAGGAUGAACAGGGCCACGUUCGCCAUCGCAGCAAGAACCCUGGAAAGAGCGUGCAUAUAUUGUAGCCUUGGUUCGCUUUUCCCUGGACUUCCGAACUCACCCUCCAUUCCCGGAGCAGUGACUAAGUACCCGGACCCCCUCAGGGACUCCAUCCAGGGGAUGUUCUAAGGACCACAGCCCUUGGAACUGGAUGGACUUUUUAGAAAUGAGUGCCAAAGGAAGUGGAAACCAGUUUAAAUUGGUGUGUAGCUGAAAGCUAAAAUCCACCCCCGCCCCAAAAAACCCCCCCGCUUCCUCUUUUUAUUACAAAUAAAUCUGCC